This is a long non-coding RNA of Rosa chinensis, 1123 nucleotides long. RefSeq lists it as uncharacterized. The record is from RefSeq and is a predicted model, not a curated record. NCBI's taxonomy places the organism in Eukaryota, Viridiplantae, Streptophyta, Magnoliopsida, Rosales, Rosaceae. The transcript has 6 exons.
AGCUCGGGAAAGCUUUCGCAGUGUUCGUUUUCGCAGUAUAAUAAGCAUUGAUAUUUUCCUGAAACAAUUACGAUAAUUUGUUUUACCAGAUUCUUGAUCCAUACCCAAAAUGACGUUGUAUCUCUAAGGGCAGGAAACCACCCGACUCAAAUUGUUUGAAAUUCUUGACUAAAACAACACAAGUGGAAGAAAUGGAUAGAAAGAAGGAAUGAAAGAAAGAGAGGUCCGUUCGAUCUUUUGUUGUUGGUUGCUGAUCAAAGGAUUGUUGAUAGGGAGAGAAUUUUCAUCUGUUCUUUGUUUGUCGGGUUAAAAGAUUAUUCCCAACCACUAUCUUGCUUCAAGUCAUUUUCUUCAGUGAGUACCAGACCCAGCAAGGGUAACCAAAGCACCACAGCAACUUCAUCAUGUACUCAUCAAGUGUGCUUAAUAUCUGGAUGAAGAUUCAUAGUUGAAGGCUACAGACUUUGGCCUGUCAGAUUUUGUGAAACCAGAUGAAAAGUUUAUCAAAAUUUUUGGUAGUACAUACUGUGUAGCCCCCAAAGUGUUACAUAUGGCUUAUGGUACAGAGGCUGAUGUCUGGAGCGUAGGUGUGAUUGCACACAUUCUAUUGUGUGGCAGCUGUCCAUUUUGGCCUUGAACGAAGUUUGGCAUUUUUCGGGCAGUUCUAAAAGUUGAUCCAAGUUUCAAUGAACCUUGGCCACCUUCUCUACAGAGGCAAAAGUAAUUUUGUCAAGCGCCUAUUGAAUCAAGACCCAUGGAAAAGAAUUACCACUGCACAAACGUGAAGUGAGUGCCUUAUCCACUCUCAAAAUGCUUAGUCAUGAACUCAUGAUUAACUUCUGAAACUGUCACUCACUGCUUUCUCUUGCAGGUCAUCCCUGCCUUGAACAUCAUAACACUGUUAAACUUCCUCUGGACAUAAUAAUAUUGAAGCUCAUGAAGGUUUAUAUGCGCUUAUCACCUCUCCGCAAAACUGCUUUAAGGGGAGUUUUUUGCUCAGCUUUCCAGGUUGGUGUAUCAACAUGGUGUCUUAACAUGACAGGGCCGAUUUUUGUAUCUAUGUUCAAACCUUUGGGGAUCGUAGUUGCAGUUGCCACUGGUUUUGGAGUGUAGCAUACUCUUU